AUGGCAGGAGCUGCAGCACGGGCCUCUCCUCCAACACCUCGACAAUGGAGGAGCCAUGACCCCACCACCGUCGCCCCCGUCAUGCCGCCGCUCCUCCUGCUCCUCCUCGCCGCCCUCGCGCUCGCCCUCGCCCCGGCCCUCCCCCACGCCGCCGCCGGAGGGGGCGCCAGGUUCUACGACCCGGCGCGGGUCACCCAGAUCUCAUGGCGCCCCAGGGCGUUCCUGUACAGCGGCUUCCUCUCGCACGCCGAGUGCGACCACCUCAUCAAGCUGGCCAAGGGGAGGCUGGAGAAGUCGAUGGUGGCCGACAAUGAGUCCGGGAAGAGUGUCAUGAGCCAGGUGCGCACAAGCUCCGGCACCUUCUUGUCCAAGCGCGAGGAUGAAAUUAUCUCUGGAAUUGAAAAGUGUGUAGCUGCUUGGACGUUUCUCCCUGAAGAAAAUGCCGAGUCGAUGCAGGUUCUGCAUUAUGAAGUUGGUCAGAAGUAUGAUGCCCACUUCAAUUAUUUUAGUGACAAAAAGAACGUGAAGCGUGGUGGUCAUUGA
RNAcentral lists this ribosomal RNA (543 nucleotides) under Triticum aestivum (bread wheat). RNAcentral describes it as "partial small subunit ribosomal RNA". The record is from RNAcentral. Lineage: Eukaryota; Viridiplantae; Streptophyta; Magnoliopsida; Poales; Poaceae.